This 319-nucleotide ribosomal RNA is filed under the name uncultured eukaryote. RNAcentral's name for it is "partial 18S ribosomal RNA". It matches the Rfam family "Eukaryotic small subunit ribosomal RNA", at positions 1470 to 1796 of the family's 1831-position model. The record is from RNAcentral.
CCCUUAGAUGUUCUGGGCAGCACGCGCGCUACAAUGGUCUUCGCAAACGGAUGCAUUCUCGAAGGAGAAUGCCAAUCUUGGAAUCUAUGCCUUGGUCGGGACAGUUGCUUGCAAUUUUUCGACUCGAACCAGGAAUUCCUUGUAAUCGUGAUUCAUCACAUCACGAUGAAUACGUCCCUGCCCUUUGUACACACCGCCCGUCGCCCCUACCGAUCGAAGAGUUAGGUGAAUUGUUUUGAUCGAUAAGAUUUGACUAUGGUCAACUCUCGUUGGGAAAUUCUGUGAAUCUGACUGUUUAGAGGAAGGAAAAGUCGUAACA